AGGUUGGCUCAGAAGCAGCCAUCCUUUAAAGAGUGCGUAACAGCUCACUAGUCGAGUGACCCUGCGCCGAAAAUGUACCGGGGCUAAGCCUGAUACCGAAACUGCGGAUUGUAGGAAACUAUAGUGGUAGGGGAGCGUUGUAUACGAGCAGAAGCCGUACCGUGAGGAGCGGUGGAUUGUAUAGAAGUGAGAAUGCCGGUGUGAGUAGCGAGAUGUAGGUGAGAAUCCUACACACCGAAAGCCCAAGGAUUCCAGGGGAAGGUUCGUCCGCCCUGGGUAAGUCGGGACCUAACGCGAGGCCGAAAGGCGUAGUGGAUGGAAAGCAGGCGAAAGAUUCCUGCACCCGUAUAUGGAGCGAAGGAGUGACGGAGACGGAUAGUGUGACCCUCUUAAUGGAUUGAGGGCGAAGCGAAGCGGCUGGUUACCAGGCAAAUCCGGUAACCAAAAGGCUAGAGCGUGACAGGUAAGCGAAAUCUUCGGAAAGUAGCGAAGCACAUGAUGACGGCUUCCAGGAAAAGCUUCUGGCAAUGCAUAUGCGGCCCGUACCAAAACCGACACAGGUGGGCAGGGAGAGAAUCCCGAGGUGAGCGAGAGAACUGUUGCCAAGGAACUCGGCAAAAUGACUCCGUAAGUUAGCGAGAAGGAGUGCUUAAGCAAUUAAGCCGCAGUGAAGAGGCCCAAGCGACUGUUUAACUAAAACACAGCUCUCUGCGAAGUCGCAAGACGAAGUAUAGGGGGUGACACCUGCCCGGUGCUGGAAGGUUAAGAGGAUCUGUUAAGAGCGAUCUGAAGCAGUGAUCCGAAGCCCCAGUGAACGGCGGCCGUAACUAUAACGGUCCUAAGGUAGCGAAAUUCCUUGUCAGGUAAGUUCUGACCCGCACGAAAGGUGUAACGAUUUGGGCGCUGUCUCGGCAGCAGACUCGGUGAAAUCUUAGUACCUGUGAAAAUGCAGGUUACCCGCAACUAGACGGAAAGACCCCAUGGAGCUUUACUGCAGCCUGAUAUUGAAUUCUGGUCAUACAUGUACAGGAUAGGUGGGAGACAAAGAGACGUGCACGCCAGUGUACGAGGAGUCGACGUUGGGAUACCACUCUUGUGUGACCGGGGUUCUAACCUGGUAUCGAGAACAGGUACGGGGAGAGUGUCAGGUGGGCAGUUUGACUGGGGCGGUCGCCUCCCAAAGAGUAACGGAGGCGCCCAAAGGUACGCUCAGAUUGGAUGGAAACCAAUCGUCGAGUGCAAUUGCAGAAGCGUGCUUGACUGUGAGACAGACAAGUCGAACAGGGACGAAAGUCGGGAAUAGUGAUCCGGCGGUGCCGAAUGGAAGGGCCGUCGCUCAACGGAUAAAAGCUACCCUGGGGAUAACAGGCUGAUCUCGCCCAAGAGUUCACAUCGACGGCGAGGUUUGGCACCUCGAUGUCGGCUCAUCGCAUCCUGGAGCUGGAUUCGGUUCCAAGGGUUGGGCUGUCCGCCCAUUAAAGCGGUACGCGAGCUGGGUUCAGAACGUCGUGAGACAGUUCGGUCCCUAUCUGUUGUGGGCGAAGGAGAUUUGCGGAGAGCUGUCCUCAGUACGAGAGGACCGGGAUGGACCUACCGCUGGUGCACCGGUUGUUCCGCCAGGGGCAUAGCCGGGUAGCUAAGUAGGGAAAGGAUAAGCGCUGAAAGCAUCUAAGCACGAAGCCUACUCCAAGAUGAGAUCUCCCAUUCGCAAGAAGUAAGACCCCUUAAAGACGAUAAGGUAGAUAGGCCAGGGAUGGAAGUGCAGUGAUGUACGGAGUUGACUGGUACUAAUCGGUCGAGGACUUAAUCAG
This 1811-nucleotide ribosomal RNA is filed under the name human gut metagenome. RNAcentral's name for it is "bacterial LSU rRNA". It matches the Rfam family "Bacterial large subunit ribosomal RNA", at positions 1098 to 2925 of the family's 2925-position model. The record is from RNAcentral.